AUGAGGGGGUGGUGGGGGAUCUGACACCCUCUUCUGGCCUCUGAGGGCACUGCAUUCUCGUGUAAGUCUCACUCACACACACCUCGCACACAUACACAGUUAAAGAAAAACUAAUCUUUUAAAAGAACAAUCAAUGAUUUUUCUUUGACGUCAAUUUACUUUUUACACGCAUGGUUUUAAAAUGUGAUAAUUUGCUUUCAUAGGUGCUCCACAGACAAACUCUCAACAGGUCCCAUGAAUUAACGCUUAAAAGCUACUAAAAUCUAAGAAGAGUUAGAAAACUGUGGAGGGCUGCAGAUCUAAAACGAGCCUAGCUGAGGUCGCGAAUGGAAGGCACGAGCCAGCUGCAGGUGCAUUGGGAACUGGGUCGGAUGUGAAUGUGGAGCAAACUGCCUGUUUAGCGUCCCCGUCCCCGGUCCCUGCCCCCACCCCAACACUCAUGGGCCAGAGACUGUGGUCAGCUGCCUUGGCUGCACACUGGAAUCCUCUGGGGCAUUCUGGAAGCUGUGAACAUGAAGGACCGUGCUACAGCAAUUGAACAAGCUCUCUGCUGGAGGCACGAGGCGCCAGUGGUUCUAAUUACUCUCCAGCUGACUCAAGUGCUCCACCAGAGUGAAGACUCCUGGUGUAAGUGCAGGGAGGAGGGGUUUAACGCCGUAAAUGAGCGGAGCGGCAGCUGGUUCUGCUGUAAUCUCUCCUGGAUAAGUGGAGAAAAUGGAGCUGCUAGUGAGACACCGAGCGCCACCUUUUUUCUGUUUGCUGUGAGUCACUUGAGGGUAUUUGGAGACACCUGUGUCCAGUCUGAGUCAUUUCUCUCUCGGGUGUGACUCAGAUCCCACCCAGCAGGUCCACACUUUGGCUUCUUUAUGGCUGAGCUCCUUUGGUUCAGGUUUUAGCGAGUACAGAUCAAGUGUGGGGCAAAACAGCUGCUCUGAAUCAAGCUGGGGAGGAGAAGGCUGUGGGACGGUGAGGAUUGACCUCCUGCUGCGUGCUGGACUGUGAUUCAAUCCCAAGUGACAGCUGGCACUGACCAAGCAGCGCCAAGCCCAGAUUCCAGUCCCAGGCAACCAAUUCCCUCUGCAGGAUGAGUGUUUGACACCAAAGGGUGACUUCAGAGGUGCCACAGUCUGACUGUCAGGAGUGAAGGCGGCAGUGUAUCAGCGGUGGUGUGUUAUGGGAAAUUGGUUCACUCGGUUGUUUGCCCUGGUACUGGGCAAGGUCUCUCCUGCAAGGAUCCCUGCCUGGCCAGCAGAAGCCUGUCAGGUACCCACCCUACAUGUGGACUUUGUGCCUGAGCACUUUUGCACCGUGCCCCCUGCUUCGGUGUGACCCCCCACCUUUGCCUCAACCCGGGAGUAGAUUACCUACUGCCCCCCCUACGAGUUCAGUAACUGAUGACUCCCUAACACUGAGGUCCCCUUGGGUCUGUCUUUUGUUUGUUUGCUUUUCGAGACAGGAUUUCUGUCUUAAUUGUCCCAGCUCUCGUAGACCAGGCUGUUCUUGAACUCACAGAGAUCUGCCUUCCUCAGCUGCCUGAGUGCUGGGAUUAAAGGUGUGGGUCACCACCGCCCUGCUGGGUCUGUCUUUUUUAAGAACCUCCCAUAGGGUGUGGUCCGAGGCCUUCCUCUGGUUGGCUCUAGCCCUUAGUCCUGACGUCAUUGCUGUGGGGUAAUGACAAGGCAGGGCUCUAGAACCAAGCAACCAUUAACCAAUUAAAGGCUGUAGCAUGCCACCUCCAGCCUCCCUCGGCCAAGGAUGGGUGUGGAGAAGGCCCAACCCAAAAUUGUAAAUUUAUUUACAACCUUCAGGUUAUUUUUGGUGAUUUUUACUUUUCAGCCCAGUUCUUGAGCAUUAUCUUGGUAGAUGACAAUGUCGUGUUAUUAUAAUGGAAAAGGCAGAGUAAUGAAGCUGAGAUCUGUGGGCUCAGAACUGGGACUGUUUCCUGGAGGAGGCGGGACCAGGUGAGGCAGACGUGGAAUAGGGCUUUGGUCGUGAGCAGGGCCAGCCAGCUCUUUAGAGAAGGGUUGCUGAGAACUCUGAGGGUAGGGAAUGUCCUAAAUGCUUAACCAUAAACCCUGCCACACCAGAACUGGAAAGGGCUGGCUGUGCCAAGUGUGAUCAUUAAUUGCUGGAUUGGAGAAACAUGGAGGUUCUGGGAAAGGACAGGCAUAAUUGACUGGGGGCUGGGGCUCAGGGCAGCAGCCAUUUGUCAAGCAAUAUGACCAUGGUUACUGCUUAACCGUAGGAUGGUAUGCAGUAUUCACUGAUGGGAUGUCAGAGACUUGGCACUGACCCAGGCUCACAUCCCAGGCUUGGCAUGUGAGUGCUGCAAUCACAGGAACAAGCUGCACCCUUGUCUGCAGCGUGCCUGUGAGCCGUUGUUUGUGUCCCGCCGGAAAGGGUGGUGUGUCCCAGGACAGUCCAGAGACCCCUGGAGCCCCAGCUUAAGAAAUGCUGGAUGUCUCUGUUCCGACCCAGCCAGCGCCCUCCACCAACGUACCAGGCUCCACCCAGGAGCAGCCCAGAGCCUCCACAGAGGCCUCUGGGUCUGAGACUGUGUCCUUUGUGAAUCUGUCUCUGCAGGUCUUGUGAAGUUGGAAGGAAUUCCAGUGAUGACGGGACGAUGAAUCUAGACUUGCAAAGCCUCAUCUCCAGCCAGAGAACUCACAGGGUUGUCUCUGGGACAGGGUGCUCUGACCUUUGUAAUUAGACUUGUCCUUUGCCAAGAGGCUUUGUGAGAGAAGCAAGCAGAGGGCUCCAUGAUUCAUGGGGAGCCUCUCUGACAGGCCAGGAGCCCUCCCUGUAGGAGCAGAGAAACCCACACACUGUUCUAACAUAAAAUGAGUUAGGCCGUGAGGAGAGCCGAGUUCAGCUGCCGCAGUGAGUUCCGAGGUUAGGGGACUCACUUAGCAGGGAAGGUACCUUCAAAUGCAGAGACUUCACCCAGAACAUCAUCAAGGGAGGCUGGGGACCUUUGCAGGGAUCGUACAGGCUGCAGGACAGGCUUGCAACCAAAGAGCCAGGCAAGGCUAAUCCACAGAGAUGCAAAAAUUAAGACGGGCUGCAUAAUGCUGCCAGGGGCUGCGCCACGACCUGGAAACAAGGCCUUGUCCCCAUACCUUCAUGGUCACAUCCCCACCUGGUUUCUACAGUAUAGGAAGUCCGCAGCUGUGCGAGGAAGGGGGAAGCGGGUAGGUGCACCUUCAGGAACCCCUUGCGAGGCUUCUCCCAAACAGAGGCCUGGAGAGAUGGUUCAGCCGUUAAGCGUGAACACUGCUGUUACAGAGGAUCCGAGUUCAGUUCCCAGAUCUCCCAAACAGAAAGGUGCCUGGAAACCACACAGCCACAGCGAAGUGUCCCAAAGUGCUAGAAAUGCAGUGUGGCUGAUGGACACAGGGGUGUUCUUGUCCUGUCUUCACACCUGGAGACUAUCUAGUGACAGCGCCGUCUCACAGGUGAGAAAGCAGGCACCAGGCUCUGAGUUCAUCUUCCUCUUCCUCCUGGGGCAAAACCAACCACAAAGCUACAAAUGUGACACUCGGGGGUGGGUGGCUGAGAGGCUGAGCUCUGUAGACAGGUGGCAAAAGUCUCGAUUCUUAACCCUCCAGAGAGGCACAGUCCCUGCCUUGCGGGGUACUGCAUCAGUGAUCUAGAAUCGUGAUGUCAAGGGGCAGGCGAAGGUUUCCGGCAACACUGGUGACCUGCACAGUCUCCGGAUCCGGGUGGAGGCUGGGAGUGUGAAUACUCUGAAGUUGUAUGCACAGUGUCACAAGGACCCAUGGGAUGUUCCUGGACAAGGGCAGCGCCUUUCUGGGGUCCUCUGAGGAAAAUAUUUCCUGAGCGUUCCCAUUCCAGUUCCUGCAUAUCUGAUAGCAUGCCUGAUGAUCUAUCUGCGCAUGCGCCAUCAUUCGCUCUAGGCCUGGCAUCCCACCCUGCAGCCCUCAGUCCUCACCUCCAGUCACGCGUCACCACUGGAGGGACAUUCGAGGUGUUUAAAAGGCUUCUCAGAACAUGCUCGAACUGGAAAUCCUCAUUCCUCUCCCCUGGCAGCAAAACCCACUCAUUCCCAUCCUCGCUGCCAGCUCUGCCGCAGGCUGCUCUAUCUUCAUCCUCUGAGACCCCAUCCUUUAAGAUGUGGGUAAACAUGCUUGAUUAGUCUGAACAGAACUGUUCUUCUAUGCUGCCAAAGAGAAGUUUUACCAAGAAAACACAGAGAAUGAAGCUGGGAAAGGAGGAACUGGUCUUUAAAGGACCCUAUGAGAAUAAUUGCUGGGAUGUAAAUGCUACAUCGAAUCAUACGUGACUCACAGGUUCUUUGAAAGAGGCUGAGCAGAAUGUCUUCCUGGAAUUCUGUGGGUAGCAGCUCACAUUCCGUCACAACCGAGCCGCGAUUGCUGGUCCUCUGAGUCAGCUGUCCUCAGAAAUCCAUGUUAUCGUGAGCCUUAGAAAACCAUGGAACUCCGAGAAUGUCACCUGUCUAGUGUGUCUUGUGCCGUGUUCAGCUAGAGUACCUGGUCCCGAGCCCCAGGCUGAAUGUAACCUGGUAAGUGUUACUGCCUUGCAUCAAACACUACAUUAGCUUCACCAAGGGUGGGGACUUGGGACUCCAGUCCAAAGACCUCACAGAGAUAAAGGAUCUUUGCACAGAAGGAGCAAGAGAUGGGGAUGUGGUCCCGAUAUUUGUCUUGAAGAGGAGGUGUCUGAGUAGUUGGUGGCCCAGGCUUGGGGUGGUCACAGCACAGUGCAGGGAAGAGAGAAAGAUGGAAGAACAGAAAGGAAGCCAGCCCUCACGGCACAGGAAGACGGCGUAGGGCUCAGGCACACAGGAGAGUCAGCACAAGUCAGAGAAGGGGAAGAAGGCAAUGGAAUUUACCUGCUCGCCCUUCCUGGCCUUAGCUCUCUCUGCGGGGCCUCCAUUGCCAUGCGGAUCGGGCAGUGGUGGCACACACCUUUAAUCUCAGUAGCCAUACUAGUUAGCCAUAGAAAACAGGAGGUGGUGGUGCACACCUUUAAUCUAGCACUAGAGAGGAAUUUAAAACAGGAGGAGACAGCUCUCAGCUCAGUCUCAUUCUGAGGAUUUGUGGAGGCAGGACCGCCACUUCAGUCUGAGGUAGAGGUAAGAGCCAGGAGUUGGCUGAUUUGCCUUUCUGAUCUUCUAUUGAACCCCAAUAUCUGUGUCUGGGUUUUUAUUAUUUGUGCUACAGUUGCUAGUGAGACCCAGGCCUACAUUUCAUUCAUUCAGCUUUACCUGGGGGGCAUAUGAAAAGACACAGGUCCCAGCUGUCUUGCUUUGCAAGACUGGGAGAAGAUAGAAGAGGGGCCUGCACUCUAUGGCAUUCAUUCAUUCAUUCGUUCACUCCUCACUCACUCAUUCAUUCUUUGAGGAAGGCAGAGGCCUUGCGACUUGAUCACUGUUUGCUAGGCAGCUCUCCAUGCCAUUGAACUGGAGACAGAACUGUCAACACCUGAGCUCUGGGGGACACACUCAAGCCGUAGGAACAGUGUUCCUGCAGAAGUGAUGGUUCCAGUGGCCAGUGCUGGAGACUUGGUCCCAUGAUAAACUAAGAGUUCCUUUCUAUUCCAUCACAGCCACAACCCCACCAGACCUCCAAAGGCCAUUUAAACACACCCAUUCCUCUACAUUGACAUUACGUUAGGCAGCCUAUAACUAUAAAUUUCCCAGGGAAAUUGAAGGGGAGAGGGACUUAAAUGUCUCACUUAGCAAAAGAUCCUAACCCCAUUUCUCUAUGAUGUUUAAAUACUAAUUCUGUGAUACUGUGGAAGUCACUUAACCCCUCUGAGCAACUGUGGCAAUUUCAUGAGACCCAGGGUAUUAUAUAUAACAUAGGAGUCAAUGAAAUCACCAUGGCAACAGCACUUUUGCACUCCAGCGUACUGAACAAGGUAGGGGCUGUCCUGCCUCCUCUCUGCACCCCUGUUCGCUGGUCCUCUCUAGUGGUUCUUCCUUCUUUCUUUGACCCUCUUGAGCUUGGCUCUAGCUCUGUUCCUAGUAGCUCUCCCACCAGCUCUUGCCCCUGAAUUCAAGCCUAAUUCUACCCUCUGUUCCUUGGAGUCACCCUGAGCGGU
Alexandromys fortis (reed vole) is the source of this 6087-nucleotide long non-coding RNA. RefSeq lists it as uncharacterized. Lineage: Eukaryota; Metazoa; Chordata; Mammalia; Rodentia; Cricetidae. The record is from RefSeq and is a predicted model, not a curated record. The transcript is spliced from 3 exons.